GGUGCGAGGGCAUAUAGUCCUCGCUUUUCUCAACCGUAGGGAGGUUGAGGAACAAGUGCUGGGCAAGACCGGUGCCAGCCGCCGCGGUAAUACCGGCAGCACAAGUGAUGACCGCUGUUAUUGGGCCUAAAGCGUCCGUAGCUGGCCAGACAAGUUCAUCGGGAAAUCUGCGCGCCUAACGCGCAGGCGUCCGGUGGAAACUGCCUGGCUUGGGACCGGAAGACCAGAGGGGUACGUCUGGGGUAGGAGUGAAAUCCCGUAAUCCUGGACGGACCACCGGUGGCGAAAGCGCCUCUGGAAGACGGAUCCGACGGUGAGGGACGAAAGCUCGGGUCACGAACCGGAUUAGAUACCCGGGUAGUCCGAGCUGUAAACGAUGUCUGCUAGGUGUGACACAGGCUACGAGCCUGUGUUGUGCCGUAGGGAAGCCGUGAAGCAGACCGCCUGGGAAGUACGUCCGCAAGGAUGAAACUUAAAGGAAUUGGCGGGGGAGCACAA
This 498-nucleotide ribosomal RNA is filed under the name uncultured Natrialba sp. RNAcentral describes it as "bacterial SSU rRNA". It matches the Rfam family "Archaeal small subunit ribosomal RNA", at positions 384 to 881 of the family's 1478-position model. Lineage: Archaea; Methanobacteriati; Methanobacteriota; Halobacteria; Halobacteriales; Natrialbaceae. The record is from RNAcentral.